CCUACGGGAGGCAGCAGUGGGGAAUAUUGCACAAUGGGCGCAAGCCUGAUGCAGCGACGCCGCGUGAAGGAUGAAGGUCUUCGGAUUGUAAACUUCUAUCAGCAGGGAAGAAUAAAUGACGGUACCUGACUAAGAAGCUCCGGCUAACUACGUGCCAGCAGCCGCGGUAAU
Molecule: ribosomal RNA, 171 nt
Filed under: uncultured Clostridium sp.
Lineage: Bacteria; Bacillati; Bacillota; Clostridia; Eubacteriales; Clostridiaceae
Description: partial 16S ribosomal RNA
Rfam family: Bacterial small subunit ribosomal RNA
Source: RNAcentral